RNAcentral lists this long non-coding RNA (459 nucleotides) under Brachypodium distachyon (stiff brome). RNAcentral describes it as "long non-coding RNA (BDIS_LNC004075)". The record is from RNAcentral. Lineage: Eukaryota; Viridiplantae; Streptophyta; Magnoliopsida; Poales; Poaceae.
GGUGGCGUCGAGGGUGCCGUUCUCCAUGGCCACCUCGGCCAGCGCCGUCGCGUAGCUCUCGGCGGCCGCGUCCUCGCCGGCUCUGGGCCGGAGGAGGUCGCCGCGGCGGCGGCGGGGCGGGGCGAGGCGGAGGGAAGGGAGGCCCCGGGCCACCGCGCAGGCGAAGGAGGCCGUGCGGGGCGCCGCGGCGGCCGCGGAGGAAGGAGAUGCGGCCGGGCGGAGCGCGACGGAGGUGGUGAGGCGGAGGGCGGCCAUUGCUCGCGUCGUGGAGCGUGAGGCGGGGGAGAGUUGUUGGAGCUCGGGGGCUUGGAUUUGGGCUGGGAGGAAGAAGAGGGGUUUGGGUGGGGAAUGGACGGCGCGCAGAGUUGUCGCGAGAUCGGACGGUUGAAGGGCUCCAGGAGUCCUGCCUGGCUGAAGAUGUGUGGCUCUUGGAAGGAUGAGAUGGAUAAGAAAUGGACG